ACACUACCUGCAUCCCCUUUGGCCUGGACCU
RNAcentral lists this non-coding RNA (31 nucleotides) under Homo sapiens (human). Lineage: Eukaryota; Metazoa; Chordata; Mammalia; Primates; Hominidae. The record is from RNAcentral.